CUUGUCAGGCCACGCUGUGUCGGCAACCCACAUAAAGUGGAAGAAGAUCGGCACAGUUGUUAGUUCAGGCCAAAUCUUCCUCAGCAAAAAGA
Molecule: non-coding RNA, 92 nt
Organism: Ceratotherium simum simum (southern white rhinoceros)
Lineage: Eukaryota; Metazoa; Chordata; Mammalia; Perissodactyla; Rhinocerotidae
Source: RefSeq, a predicted model, not a curated record